AUUGAACGCUGGCGGCAGGCCUAACACAUGCAAGUCGAGCGGACUCAGGUAGCUUGCUACCUGAGUUAGCGGCGGACGGGUGAGUAACGCGUAGGAAUUUGCCCAGUAGUGGGGGAUAACGUUCCGAAAGGAACGCUAAUACCGCAUACGCCCCAAGGGGGAAAGCAGGGGAUCUUCGGACCUUGCGCUAUUGGAGAAGCCUGCGUCGGAUUAGCUAGUUGGUAGGGUAAAGGCCUACCAAGGCGACAAUCCGUAGCUGGUCUGAAAGGAUGAUCACCCACACUGGGACUGAAACACGGCCCAAACUCCUACGGGAGGCAGCAGUGGGGAAUAUUGGACAAUGGGGGCAACCCUGAUCCAGCCAUGCCGCGGGUGUGAAGAAGGCCUUAGGGUUGUAAAGCACUUUCAGUGGGGAGGAAAAGUUGACGGCUAAUACCCGUUGACCCUGACGUUACCCACAGAAAAAGCACCGGCAAACUCCGUG
This 484-nucleotide ribosomal RNA is filed under the name uncultured bacterium. RNAcentral's name for it is "bacterial SSU rRNA". It matches the Rfam family "Bacterial small subunit ribosomal RNA", at positions 30 to 507 of the family's 1533-position model. The record is from RNAcentral.